Molecule: long non-coding RNA, 702 nt
Filed under: Gossypium barbadense (sea-island cotton)
Lineage: Eukaryota; Viridiplantae; Streptophyta; Magnoliopsida; Malvales; Malvaceae
Description: long non-coding RNA (GBAR_LNC004704)
Source: RNAcentral
CACGUCCUAAGUCUAACCCAUUUAUUAACAAACAGAUUAAAGUUAUUAAAAAUAAAAUAAUCCCAGAAAAAUAAUUAAAAUGGCCUUAUUACAACCGAAAACCAAACAAUAAUAUUAAUAAGAUAAAACUUAUAAAGAAAUAAAUCGGCUACUUAUUGCAAUUAAAAGAAACAGAAACAGUAUUGUGGCCAUCUUCGAGUCCCUCGCAGCUCCAAACCAUCUAAGCUUAGGGAUUACCUGCACAAUUAGAAACGGGGUGAGUUUACGAAAACUCAGUGUGUAAUCCCAAUAACAAACAAACAGUGAAAACACAGUAUCAGUACAAUUUGGGUCAAAGCCCUAUUUAGUCUUGACAUAUACAUGGCCGAAGCCUUUCGUUUAACGAUUACUGGGCCGAAGCCUAUUCUCGGCCCAAAUGGCCCCGCACGCUCGUGUGGGCUUUUAGCCCAAAUCUAGCCACAAAUAUGAGAUUCACCUAGCCUAGUCCAAUAUUUACUACACAAUCAAACAACUUAUCCAAUUGGGCCCGUAACCCAUUGGGCCCACAUGGCCCCUUUCGGCCCGAAGUAGCCAUCCUACAGCUAGAGUAGUGAGAAAUACACACCUGAUAGGAGACUAGAGUUAAUCCACGCUCCAAGCACUCUUAGCCGACGCCCAACCCAACGAGCACGCCAUACAGCAAAAGGGAUCAGCCAAGAAAGG